This is a long non-coding RNA of Mustela erminea (ermine), 620 nucleotides long. RefSeq lists it as uncharacterized. The transcript has 4 exons. NCBI's taxonomy places the organism in Eukaryota, Metazoa, Chordata, Mammalia, Carnivora, Mustelidae. The record is from RefSeq and is a predicted model, not a curated record.
AGAACCUGCCGGCUGAACCAGGCGCACGUUUGCCCCUCUAAUUGGGAGGUUCCAAACUUCACCACAGGGGGCGCUGCGUGGUCGGAGGUGCUUUGGCCUUGUUUGCGUUGGGGAAACGCACAGUGGUUACGGGCAUAAUGUAAAGUCAGUUCCGUGGGGGUCAUUGGCACGUCAUAGCCUGGUCCUGAGGGGCAGAGUCCAUGUCACUGAGGAAAGCAGAGGUUCUCGGCCAGCAGUAAUAACAUGCUCACCUGUGUGAGGCCCUACUCUUGGGGGUGUUCUUUCUUCUGUCUUCAAACCUCAAGAUCCAGUCUCCCAUCCUUCAAAACCUACUCUGGAAUCAAUCUCAGGAAAGGGCAUCUAAGCAGAUGUGGCUCCAGAUCUGGCAGGACAAUUGUUUUGCUGACAUUCGCUCUGGCGUCAGUUGGACCUGCUCAGCUCCAGGCAGAAUGGAAGACCACGGCAAGCGGAGAUGAUGGGCUUUUUCUGGGCAGAAGGGGUGGAGAGCCCCAGGCCUAGAUUUGCCCCAACUCAUCCGAUAAGUCACUUGCCUUGUCUGGGCCCCUCCAGACGUAGCUGGAGUGCAAGGCGGGUAUUGGGGGGCGGAGCCCAGGAAACAU